Molecule: long non-coding RNA, 557 nt
Filed under: Mytilus galloprovincialis (Mediterranean mussel)
Lineage: Eukaryota; Metazoa; Mollusca; Bivalvia; Mytilida; Mytilidae
Source: RNAcentral
GUAUUUUUUCUUUAUUUUUUUUCUUUCCCUUUCUCAUUCAUUUCUUAGCUUUUCUGGGGUGGAAAUGAAAGAAGAGAGCUGAAAUAAACUUCUGGAUGGUUUAUUUUAACUGAUUUUAAUAAGGAAAGAGUGAUUAGGCCAGGUGCAAAAAGGUUAUAUUUACACUUUUCGGAACAUCUCUUGACUUGCCUAUAGGGGUAUGGAUGUGUAUUGGCCAAAUUUGUAUGAUGUAAAGAUGCAAUUUUUCUGAAAAUUGCAUAUAUUUUUGGACUUGUACUGUACAUUACACACACAAAAAAUUAGACAAAAAGAAUAGGCAAAAUUUUUUUAAUGCGACAAAACGUUAUAAAGAAAUGAUAGAGGAAUUAAUUGUGGUCUCGGGCCAAAAACAGAUCUUUUCAACAAUCAAAAGUGACAAAACCAAACCCAGGAAAGGGAAAAUUCACUGGUAAUCAUGGAAAUAAGAACAAAGAAUUUGAAAUCAACAAGCUAGUCCAACAGUUGUUACAACUUGCUAAUUAAACUGUUAUUUUCAAAAUGUAAAUGUACUGUAGCCU